UUGUGGUCAAGUGGCAGGGGACGGGCUUUGGACGCUACCACGUUUCGGGUUCAAUCCUUCUGCUAUGUGAAACUAACACACAUUUGUUUCGGAUAUCAAACAUGGAUAUGAGCCUUUGCUUUUUCGACCCAUUGAGAGUCUAUCCAUGGGCUGCACCUCCUCUUGGGGAUUAGUCUGUGUCCCUCCAUAGGCUUAGGAUAUCCCAGGUUAAAAAAAAAAAUACUAUUAUCCCACGCGCGCACACACACACUCAUG
RNAcentral lists this long non-coding RNA (255 nucleotides) under Eutrema salsugineum. RNAcentral describes it as "long non-coding RNA (ESAL_LNC000219)". The record is from RNAcentral. Lineage: Eukaryota; Viridiplantae; Streptophyta; Magnoliopsida; Brassicales; Brassicaceae.